CCCUUAGAUGUUCUGGGCUGCACGCGCGCUACACUGAUGCACUCAACGAGUUUACGACCUUGCCCGAUAGGGUUGGGUAAUCUUUUUAAAAUGCAUCGUGAUGGGGAUAGAUUAUUGCAAUUAUUAAUCUUCAACGAGGAAUUCCUAGUAAGCGCGAGUCAUCAGCUCGUGCUGAUUACGUCCCUGCCCUUUGUACACACCGCCCGUCGCUCCUACCGAUUGAGUGCUCAGGUGAAUAAUUCGGACUGCAGCAAUGUUUGGAUCCCGAACGUUGCAUCGGAAAGUUUAGUGAACCUUAUCACUUAGAGGAAGGAGAAGUCGUAACA
RNAcentral lists this ribosomal RNA (326 nucleotides) under uncultured eukaryote. Its description in RNAcentral is "partial 18S ribosomal RNA". It matches the Rfam family "Eukaryotic small subunit ribosomal RNA", at positions 1470 to 1796 of the family's 1831-position model. The record is from RNAcentral.